AACGAACGCUGGCGGCAUGCCUAACACAUGCAAGUCGAACGAGACCUUCGGGUCUAGUGGCGCACGGGUGCGUAACGCGUGGGAACCUGCCCUUAGGUUCGGAAUAACUCCCCGAAAGGGGUGCUAAUACCGGAUAAUGUCUUCGGACCAAAGAUUUAUCGCCUUUGGAUGGGCCCGCGUUGGAUUAGCUAGUUGGUAGGGUAAAAGCCUACCAAGGCGACGAUCCAUAGCUGGUCUGAGAGGAUGAUCAGCCACACUGGGACUGAGACACGGCCCAGACUCCUCGGGAGGCAGCAGUGGGGAAUAUUGGACAAUGGGCGAAAGCCUGAUCCAGCAAUGCCGCGUGAGUGAUGAAGGCCUUAGGGUUGUAAAGCUCUUUUACCCGGGAUGAUAAUGACAGUACCGGGAGAAUAAGCUCCGGCUAACUCCGUG
Molecule: ribosomal RNA, 432 nt
Filed under: uncultured bacterium
Lineage: Bacteria
Description: partial 16S ribosomal RNA
Rfam family: Bacterial small subunit ribosomal RNA
Source: RNAcentral